RNAcentral lists this RNase P RNA (453 nucleotides) under Rickettsiales bacterium. RNAcentral describes it as "RNase P RNA component class A". It matches the Rfam family "Bacterial RNase P class A". From Rfam's summary of the family: Ribonuclease P (RNase P) is a ubiquitous endoribonuclease, found in archaea, bacteria and eukarya as well as chloroplasts and mitochondria. The record is from RNAcentral. Lineage: Bacteria; Pseudomonadati; Pseudomonadota; Alphaproteobacteria; Rickettsiales.
ACGGCAGUCCAGGCAGUCGCCGGUCGUCUCCUUCGGGAGCGGCGGGAGGAAAGUCCGAGCUCCACAGGGCACAGCGCCGGGUAACUCCCGGUCGGCGGAAGUCGAAGGAAAGUGCCACAGAAAGCAGGCAGCCGGGAGGUGGCUUUUAGGCCGCAACUCGCACCUUGCGCCCGAUCGAAUGUGUCGGUGGCGGAGGUGCAGCGGGUCUUUGACCUGCUGGUGAAGGUGAAAGGGUGCGGUAAGAGCGCACCGGCGGUCCGGGCAACCGGAUCGGCCAGGUAAACCCCGCUGGGAGCAAGGCCAUAUAGGGGCGUCUCGUGAGGUUGCCCGCCUCCAUGACGUCCGGGUAGGCCGCUUGAGUGCGUCGGUAACGGCGUGCCUAGAUGAAUGACUGUCCAUGGGUUGGCGGCAACGCCUCCCGGCACAGAACUCGGCUUACGGACUGCCCGACUC